GAUGAGCGCUGGCGGCGUGCUUAACACAUGCAAGUCGAGCGAAGCGCUUAAGUUUGAUUCUUCGGAUGAAGACUUUUGUGACUGAGCGGCGGACGGGUGAGUAACGCGUGGGUAACCUGCCUCAUACAGGGGGAUAACAGUUAGAAAUGACUGCUAAUACCGCAUAAGACCACGGUACCGCAUGGUACAGUGGUAAAAACUCCGGUGGUAUGAGAUGGACCCGCGUCUGAUUAGGUAGUUGGUGGGGUAACGGCCUACCAAGCCGACGAUCAGUAGCCGACCUGAGAGGGUGACCGGCCACAUUGGGACUGAGACACGGCCCAGACUCCUACGGGAGGCAGCAGUGGGGAAUAUUGCACAAUGGAGGAAACUCUGAUGCAGCGACGCCGCGUGAAGGAUGAAGUAUUUCGGUAUGUAAACUUCUAUCAGCAGGGAAGAAAAUGACGG
This 447-nucleotide ribosomal RNA is filed under the name uncultured bacterium. RNAcentral's name for it is "bacterial SSU rRNA". It matches the Rfam family "Bacterial small subunit ribosomal RNA", at positions 28 to 457 of the family's 1533-position model. The record is from RNAcentral.